This 791-nucleotide ribosomal RNA is filed under the name uncultured bacterium. RNAcentral describes it as "bacterial SSU rRNA". It matches the Rfam family "Bacterial small subunit ribosomal RNA", at positions 8 to 796 of the family's 1533-position model. The record is from RNAcentral.
AGAGUUUGAUCAUGGCUCAGAUUGAACGCUGGCGGCAUGCUUUACACAUGCAAGUCGAACGCGGUCGGGGGGCAACUCCUGACUGAGUGGCGAACGGGUGAGUAAUACAUCGGAACGUACCCCGUUGUGGGGGAUAACCCACCGAAAGGUGGGCUAAUACCGCAUACGCCCCGAGGGGGAAAGCGGGGGACCUGAGAGGGCCUCGCGCGAUGGGAGCGGCCGAUGUCGGAUUAGCUAGUAGGUUGGGUAAAGGCUGACCUAGGCGACGAUCCGUAGCUGGUCUGAGAGGAUGAUCAGCCACACUGGGACUGAGACACGGCCCAGACUCCUACGGGAGGCAGCAGUGGGGAAUUUUGGACAAUGGGGGCAACCCUGAUCCAGCCAUGCCGCGUGAGUGAAGAAGGCCUUCGGGUUGUAAAGCUCUUUCGGCCGGAACGAAAUCGCAUCUCCUAAUACGGGGUGUGGAUGACGGUACCGGAAGAAGAAGCACCGGCUAACUACGUGCCAGCAGCCGCGGUAAUACGUAGGGUGCGAGCGUUAAUCGGAAUUACUGGGCGUAAAGCGUGCGCAGGCGGCUCUUCAAGUCAGAUGUGAAAGCCCCGGGCUUAACCUGGGAACUGCGUUUGAAACUGGAGGGCUAGAGUGUGGCAGAGGGAGGUGGAAUUCCACGUAGCAGUGAAAUGCGUAGAGAUGUGGAGGAACACCGAUGGCGAAGGCAGCCUCCUGGGCCAACACUGACGCUCAGGCACGAAAGCGUGGGGAGCAAACAGGAUUAGAUACCCUAGUAGUCC